This 1202-nucleotide long non-coding RNA is filed under the name Fukomys damarensis (Damara mole-rat). RNAcentral's name for it is "lncRNA (ENSFDAG00000026858.1)". Lineage: Eukaryota; Metazoa; Chordata; Mammalia; Rodentia; Bathyergidae. The record is from RNAcentral.
AUCGGGCGCAGCGCGGGCGCCAUUGCGGGAGGUGGUGGCCCGGACCCGGGUUGGUAGACGCGGAGGCGGUGAGUGAGUGCGCCCAGUGCUAGUCCCGCACCUUUCCCACUCCCAGGGUCCUGAACUCGGCGACCUACGUUUAAUUUGUGAACUAUUUGUGUCCCCGACGCAAGACAUCGCAGCUUUUCCGCCUCAGCCGCGGGGACCCUGAGUAACGUAAUGCACACGGAGCAACAGAAAGCCGGGGCUGUUUAAACUUAUUUACGUAUUUUUGCACAAACACAUGAUACUGUGUGAUUGAAGUCGUGCUAUACACACUGAAUCCUCUGUCCCCAAUGACAUCCGAGUGGGACAGAAGCAUUUCCUAGACAGGUCACCCUAAUGCACUGCUGCGCUGCGUUACAAUAUACUAAAGGACCUUGCUAUUUGGUGCACAAAAUGUAUUUCUUGUCAUCCGUAACUAUCGCAACGGCAGAAUUUCAUCUUACUCCACUGUCAAAACAGCAUCGGGAUGAGGAGUGAGCAUCGAGGCUGGGCCGGGGCUCCGCUUGUGACCUGUGCCCCCAGCAUUUCAUCUCUGUUACAGACAUGCUGCUGUGCCAUCUAAUGCUUUAAAUCUUUUAAAAAGUGUCGACCUCGUGAAAAACAAAAAGCUUGAAAAACUUACAGAUUAGGGGGCACUAAGGAGAGCUGACUUAAUGCAGGAUCGUAGGUUACAGAAAGAACGAAGUGGAGGAACGGAUGAAGAAAUACUCCUUAGGUCUCUACAAGACCAAGACUGUGGAAUUUCUUCUGCCAACUCAGGAACUUUUCAUAAUAGCACAAACCAAAAAAUAUUCUUAAAUUAAAAAAAAAACAACUUGCUCAACAUCUCAUUCCCAGAGACAGAUUGAGGGUUAUGCCUUCUCAGAAUGUGGUUCUUUCCCAGGAAGGGAACACGAAGGAGACAGAAAUGGAUGAUGGAUCACAGAAAGUCAGGUCUCGAGUAAGUUCAGUUCUGCUCUCCUCCAACAUGCUACCAUAGUUCUCAGGAUGUUGGCACUUUCAUUUUUCAGUGUAAAGCCUUGCUGUGCUGUCUGUAAACAUGGUGUAUGGUGCCUUGGUUACUUUGACUGCUUUGAAUGAAUGGGAUGGAUCAUGAAAUGGGCCUGAAUUAUCUACUACCACAGGUUAACUUUAUGAAGACCUCUUGUAUCUCUUCC